This 1359-nucleotide ribosomal RNA is filed under the name uncultured bacterium. RNAcentral describes it as "bacterial SSU rRNA". It matches the Rfam family "Bacterial small subunit ribosomal RNA", at positions 28 to 1381 of the family's 1533-position model. The record is from RNAcentral.
GAUGAACGCUAGCUACAGGCUUAACACAUGCAAGUCGAGGGGCAGCAUUUCAGUUUGCUUGCAAACUGGAGAUGGCGACUGGCGCACGGGUGAGUAACACGUAUCCAACCUGCCGAUAACUCGGGGAUAGCCUUUCGAAAGAAAGAUUAAUACCCGAUGGUAUAAUCAGACCGCAUGGUCUUGUUAUUAAAGAAUUUCGGUUAUCGAUGGGGAUGCGUUCCAUUAGGCAGUUGGUGAGGUAACGGCUCACCAAACCUUCGAUGGAUAGGGGUUCUGAGAGGAAGGUCCCCCACAUUGGAACUGAGACACGGUCCAAACUCCUACGGGAGGCAGCAGUGAGGAAUAUUGGUCAAUGGGCGCAGGCCUGAACCAGCCAAGUAGCGUGAAGGAUGACUGCCCUAUGGGUUGUAAACUUCUUUUAUAUGGGAAUAAAGUUUUCCACGUGUGGAAUUUUGUAUGUACCAUAUGAAUAAGGAUCGGCUAACUCCGUGCCAGCAGCCGCGGUAAUACGGAGGAUCCGAGCGUUAUCCGGAUUUAUUGGGUUUAAAGGGAGCGUAGGUGGACAGUUAAGUCAGUUGUGAAAGUUUGCGGCUCAACCGUAAAAUUGCAGUUGAUACUGGCUGUCUUGAGUACAGUAGAGGUGGGCGGAAUUCGUGGUGUAGCGGUGAAAUGCUUAGAUAUCACGAAGAACUCCGAUUGCGAAGGCAGCUCACUGGACUGCAACUGACACUGAUGCUCGAAAGUGUGGGUAUCAAACAGGAUUAGAUACCCUGGUAGUCCACACAGUAAACGAUGAAUACUCGCUGUUUGCGAUAUACAGUAAGCGGCCAAGCGAAAGCAUUAAGUAUUCCACCUGGGGAGUACGCCGGCAACGGUGAAACUCAAAGGAAUUGACGGGGGCCCGCACAAGCGGAGGAACAUGUGGUUUAAUUCGAUGAUACGCGAGGAACCUUACCCGGGCUUAAAUUGCAUUUGAAUAUAUUGGAAACAGUAUAGCCGUAAGGCAAAUGUGAAGGUGCUGCAUGGUUGUCGUCAGCUCGUGCCGUGAGGUGUCGGCUUAAGUGCCGUAACGAGCGCAACCCUUAUCUUUAGUUACUAACAGGUCAUGCUGAGGACUCUAGAGAGACUGCCGUCGUAAGAUGUGAGGAAGGUGGGGAUGACGUCAAAUCAGCACGGCCCUUACGUCCGGGGCUACACACGUGUUACAAUGGGGGGUACAGAAGGCAGCUACCUGGUGACAGGAUGCUAAUCCCAAAAGCCUCUCUCAGUUCGGAUCGAAGUCUGCAACCCGACUUCGUGAAGCUGGAUUCGCUAGUAAUCGCGCAUCAGCCAUGGCGCGGUGAAUACGUUCCCGGGCCU